UACGUAGGCAGCGAGCGUUGUUCGGAAUUACUGGGCGUAAAGAGUGUGUAGGCGGUGUUCCCAGUCUGUUGUGAAAUCUCCCGGCUUAACUGGGAGGGUGCAGCGGAAACUAGAAUGCUAGAGGGUGGGAGAGGUAAGCGGAAUUCCUGGUGUAGCGGUGAAAUGCGUAGAUAUCAGGAGGAACACCUGUGGUGUAGACAGCUUACUGGACCGACACUGACGCUGACAGCGCGAAAGCCAGGGGAGCAAACGGG
Molecule: ribosomal RNA, 254 nt
Filed under: uncultured bacterium
Lineage: Bacteria
Description: partial 16S ribosomal RNA
Rfam family: Bacterial small subunit ribosomal RNA
Source: RNAcentral